GACGAACGCUGGCGGCGUGCUUAACACAUGCAAGUCGAACGGAAAGGCCCUGCUUUUGUGGGGUGCUCGAGUGGCGAACGGGUGAGUAACACGUGAGUAACCUGCCCUUGACUUUGGGAUAACUUCAGGAAACUGGGGCUAAUCCCGGAUAGGCGCUCCUGCUGCAUGGUGGGGGUUGGAAAGUUUCGGCGGUUGGGGAUGGCCUCGCGGCUUAUCAGCUUGUUGGUGGGGUAGUGGCUUACCAAGGCUUUGACGGGUAGCCGGCCUGAGAGGGUGACCGGCCACAUUGGGACUGAGAUACGGCCCAGACUCCUACGGGAGGCAGCAGUGGGGAAUAUUGCACAAUGGGCGGAAGCCUGAUGCAGCAACGCCGCGUGCGGGAUGACGGCCUUCGGGUUGUAAACCGCUUUCGCCUGUGACGAAGCGUGAGUGACGGUAAUGGGUAAAGAAGCACCGGCUAACUACGUG
RNAcentral lists this ribosomal RNA (468 nucleotides) under uncultured bacterium. Its description in RNAcentral is "partial 16S ribosomal RNA". It matches the Rfam family "Bacterial small subunit ribosomal RNA", at positions 28 to 507 of the family's 1533-position model. The record is from RNAcentral.